AUUGAACGCUGGCGGGAUGCUUUACACAUGCAAGUCGAACGGCAGCACGGACUUCGGUCUGGUGGCGAGUGGCGAACGGGUGAGUAAUGUAUCGGAACGUGCCCAGUCGUGGGGGAUCACGUAGUGAAAAUUACGCUAAUACCGCAUACGAUCUAUGGAUGAAAGCGGGGGAUCGCAAGACCUCGCGCGAUUGGAGCGGCCGAUAUCAGAUUAGGUAGUUGGUGGGGUAAAGGCCCACCAAGCCAACGAUCUGUAGCUGGUCUGAGAGGACGACCAGCCACACUGGAACUGAGACACGGUCCAGACUCCUACGGGAGGCAGCAGUGGGGAAUUUUGGACAAUGGGCGAAAGCCUGAUCCAGCCAUUCCGCGUGCAGGAUGAAGGCCCUCGGGUUGUAAACUGCUUUUGUACAGAACGAAAAGGUUUCUACUAAUACUAGGAGCUCAUGACGGUACUGUAAGAAUAAGCACCGGCUAACUACGUGCCAGCAGCCGCCGUAA
This 500-nucleotide ribosomal RNA is filed under the name uncultured bacterium. RNAcentral describes it as "partial 16S ribosomal RNA". It matches the Rfam family "Bacterial small subunit ribosomal RNA", at positions 30 to 523 of the family's 1533-position model. The record is from RNAcentral.